UACGUAGGGAGCGAGCGUUGUCCGGAAUUACUGGGCGUAAAGGGCGCGUAGGCGGGAACUUAAGUUAGAUGUGAAAACUCUGGGCUUAACCUGGAGACUGCAUUUAAAACUGGGUUUCUUGAGGGCAGGAGAGGAAAGUGGAAUUCCUAGUGUAGCGGUGAAAUGCGUAGAUAUUAGGAGGAACACCAGUGGCGAAGGCGACUUUCUGGACUGUACCUGACGCUGAGGCGCGAAAGCAUGGGGAGCGAACAGG
Molecule: ribosomal RNA, 253 nt
Filed under: uncultured bacterium
Lineage: Bacteria
Description: partial 16S ribosomal RNA
Rfam family: Bacterial small subunit ribosomal RNA
Source: RNAcentral